Long non-coding RNA from Populus euphratica (Euphrates poplar), 395 nucleotides. RefSeq lists it as uncharacterized. The transcript has 3 exons. Lineage: Eukaryota; Viridiplantae; Streptophyta; Magnoliopsida; Malpighiales; Salicaceae. The record is from RefSeq and is a predicted model, not a curated record.
AGGUUCUAAAUGCUCACUCGCUUUCUAAAUUCUCCAUCGAUAAAGAAUAAAAAGAAAGAGAAGCAUAUAAUAUUAUUUCAAAUGGAUUAUGGGUGCCGCUAAAAUAACAGAACUCAAACACUUUAUUGAUUAGUGCAAGUUGCCCUUUAAUUCUUCACUCCCCAUCUCUUGUUUUCUUCAAAGCCUAGGUGCUCGAGUUCCUCUAGACAAAAAACCGGUAAGUUAUGUGCUGAUAGAAGCAUGCUCUUAUGCAGGAGAAAAGUGAUAUUAGCAUGUCUGACUUUAGGGAAUGCUAUAAUUCCAAAAGACCAAUUGAAGAUGAUGAUGAUGAUAUUGUCGAGUCUGAUAUUAAAUUGGAUAAUACUGAUGUUGUGAAACCUGAUAAUGAUCCUCUA